RNAcentral lists this ribosomal RNA (302 nucleotides) under uncultured bacterium. RNAcentral's name for it is "partial 16S ribosomal RNA". It matches the Rfam family "Bacterial small subunit ribosomal RNA", at positions 508 to 807 of the family's 1533-position model. The record is from RNAcentral.
GCAGUCGCCGCGGUAAGACAGAGGAUGCAAGCGUUAUCCGGAAUGAUUGGGCGUAAAGCGUCUGUAGGUGGCUUUUCAAGUCCGCCGUCAAAUCCCAGGGCUCAACCUGGGAAUUGCAGUGGAUACUGGAUCACUAGAGUGUGGUAGAGGGAUGCGGAAUUUCUGGUGUAGCAGUGAAAUGCGUAGAGAUCAGAAGGAACAUCCGUGGCGAAGGCGGCGUCCUGGGCCAACACUGACACUGAGGCACGGAAGCGUGGGGAGCAAACAGGAUUAGAUACCCCCGUAGUCCCUGUCUCUUAUAC